Molecule: unclassified non-coding RNA, 280 nt
Filed under: Basidiomycota sp.
Lineage: Eukaryota; Fungi; Basidiomycota
Description: partial contains small subunit ribosomal RNA, internal transcribed spacer 1, and 5.8S ribosomal RNA
Rfam family: Eukaryotic small subunit ribosomal RNA (bases 1-47)
Source: RNAcentral
AAAGUCGUAACAAGGUUUCCGUAGGUGAACCUGCGGAAGGAUCAUUAAUGAAAUACAAGUCGGUCGAUUGUGCUGGUGACUAGCAGGUGCACAUUGAUCACAAAUCCUCACACCUGUGCACCCACCAACUCUGAAGAUGUGAUAUGGGAGUGGUCAUCCUUGUGGGUGGCUUUGAACUCUUUCUCUUUGGAGUGUUUCACACAUUCAUGAAUGAAACAGAAUGCUGUCUUUUUGCAAUCAUGCAGCAAAACAACUUUCAACAACGGAUCUCUUGGCUCUC